This is a long non-coding RNA of Polypterus senegalus (gray bichir), 1779 nucleotides long. RefSeq lists it as uncharacterized. The record is from RefSeq and is a predicted model, not a curated record. NCBI's taxonomy places the organism in Eukaryota, Metazoa, Chordata, Cladistia, Polypteriformes, Polypteridae. The transcript has 4 exons.
CACGUGUCACGUUCCUCACGCUACUUUAGUUAUUUUUAACGGACAUGUGGACGAGGGUUGACCUGGCGUGUCCUUGAAUCGGGGUUAAUGGAUGAAUUUUAAGAGGGAACCAUCACGGAGGACACCCAUUUAGAGACCACUACCUGUGUGUCUUUGGGAUAAGGAAGGAAAAAAAUGUGCUAGGACAAAAGCCCUGUUGAAAUGGAUGAAGAAGCAAACCUCCAACGGGCAGUGACUGAACCACAAUACGGAUUCAACUACUUGAAGCUGCGAGCCUUGUAGGAAAAGAGACAAAGAAGCAUAAAGGUUUGGAGUACCAAAUGGCGAACCCCGUAUAACUGUUGGGAAAAACAAAAAAACGAAGAAAACCGGGUAAUGACUUUGUAGACACGAGUCCAAUUGCAACGGCUCUAAGAUUGUGGAACAUCCGGUUUUUGAGGACUUCCUGGAGGAAGAGGCAGGUCCAGGUGGACGGACACAGGAAGUGACAUCAGUGGUGGCGAUGCCAUCAAUCUUCCAGUCUGAAGUCCGAGAAAGAGAAUAGACAUCAGUCCACAGUGCCAGCCCCCCUGGAGUGGCAGGAUAUUACCUUUACCAGAAGCUUUAAGUUGUCCUCACUGCGCAUGCGUGUGGCUCCCUGCAUCCCACAGCGGUGUUGUUAACAAAAGAGGAGAUACAACACAGUGGUAAACAGGCCCCUGUCUCAAAUUAGUUUGAAACGUGUUGCUGGCAUCCGGUUCAAAAUGAGCAUAUACUGUACCUUCCAUAAAACAAUAUCAGUUCUCAGGUUUAAUGUGUGAUGUGUUGAUUUUGUGGGAGAAUAACGGGAACCAUUAAGGGGUAACAUGGCUUUUUGUAAAUGAAGUGUUCUGAAUGCAGUACACGUUGAAAAGAGUAGCAGGAAGAGACUGCUGAAAUGGGUAAGUAAAGAGACAGAGCGUUCUGUCAUGGUGGCUUAAGAAAUUGGCUGAUGUCAUGUGCCCAGGAAGACUUGCCAGUUGUCAUGUACCCACUGCAAAAGAAAUUGUUGAAGAAUGGUUUGAGAAACAUGACAAGACGUUAGAUGCGUGCGUGUGUGUGUGUGUGUGUUUAAUAAAAGUGCUAACUGUACCUUGUCACCUCUCACUUCUAUACAUUCACUUUGCUGCUCCUCUGCCAUUGUAGCUGCUCUGCUGUACACUUACAAUGUUUGUAAUAGUGACAGUCAUGUGACCCACCAGUGAACGGACCACCCCCCUCUAACCCCCAACCUGAACCCACCAAUCCGUGGCUUGGGCCCAACUUCCAAGUGUAUAGACGGUGGCAGGCUGACAGAUGGACACUGAAGGGGUCUCUGGGGUGGGUAGAUCCUCUCAUCUCUACAGACUUAUGCUUUGGCAUUUGUGACAAAUUCACACUUACUUGCCUUCUAAAACCUUUUUGUUCAGAUAAGUGAGCUUUUCGCUUGAUUUCCCUGAUGCCCUUUAGAAACACUCCCCAAAGGCCAUUUUCCACAGUUGCGGUGCUCAUCAAGAGGUCAUUUAACCAACUGCUAAUCAAUACAAUGGCAAAAAGAUCUGCUGAGCGUCUCCUUAAAUGACUUUGUUACGCCUGUGACGGUCAUCGGUUUUCAUUCUGGCCGGAAUCUCAAAUACGAGGGACGUUCAAAACGUUUCCUCACUUUUAUAUUUUCGUUUGGAAAUGGUGAAGGAGGGAGCAGCAGUGAUUGGUCGUGUUUGAGAGAACAUUAGAACACUCCAGACGAGAACAGGCCAUUCAGCCCAACAAAGCUCGCCAGUC